UGCGUAGGUGGUGCCGUAAGUCAGGUGUGAAAUUUCGGAGCUCAACUCCGAAACUGCAUUUGAUACUGCGGUGCUUGAGGACUGGAGAGGAGACUGGAAUUCACGGUGUAGCAGUGAAAUGCGUAGAUAUCGUGAGGAAGACCAGUGGCGAAGGCGGGUCUCUGGACAGUUCCUGACACUGAGGCACGAAGGCCAGGGGAGCAAACG
Molecule: ribosomal RNA, 207 nt
Filed under: uncultured bacterium
Lineage: Bacteria
Description: partial 16S ribosomal RNA
Rfam family: Bacterial small subunit ribosomal RNA
Source: RNAcentral